GAUGAACGCUGGCGGCGUGCCUAAUACAUGCAAGUCGAGCGAACGGACGAGAAGCUUGCUUUUCUGAUGUUAGCGGCGGACGGGUGAGUAACACGUGGAUAACCUACCUAUAAGACUGGGAUAACUUCGGGAAACCGGAGCUAAUACCGGAUAAUAUUUUGAACCGCAUGGUUCAAAAGUGAAAGACGGUCUUGCUGUCACUUAUAGACGGAUCCGCGCUGCAUUAGCUAGUUGGUAAGGUAACGGCUUACCAAGGCAACGAUGCGUAGCCGACCUGAGAGGGUGAUCGGCCACACUGGAACUGAGACACGGUCCAGACUCCUACGGGAGGCAGCAGUAGGGAAUCUUCCGCAAUGGGCGAAAGCCUGACGGAGCAACGCCGCGUGAGUGAUGAAGGUCUUCGGAUCGUAAAGCUCUGUUAUUAGGGAAGAACAUAUGUGUAAGUAACUGUGCACAUCUUGACGGUACCUAAUCAGAAAGCCCCGGCUAACUACGUG
RNAcentral lists this ribosomal RNA (497 nucleotides) under uncultured bacterium. RNAcentral describes it as "partial 16S ribosomal RNA". It matches the Rfam family "Bacterial small subunit ribosomal RNA", at positions 28 to 507 of the family's 1533-position model. The record is from RNAcentral.